GCAUGUGAAGUGUUUAUUAGCCCAGUGCCUGGAAUAUUAUAAACACACAGAUAUAUGAUUGACAUUUUUUGUUAGUUAUCACUGGUUAUGUUAUCUUGGCUCCUUCUUAAUUUUUUAUUUUAUUUUGA
This 128-nucleotide long non-coding RNA is filed under the name Canis lupus familiaris (dog). RNAcentral describes it as "lncRNA (ENSCAFG00030003292.1)". The record is from RNAcentral. Lineage: Eukaryota; Metazoa; Chordata; Mammalia; Carnivora; Canidae.